GACGUGAGGGGCGAGCGUUACUCGGAAUCACUGGGCGUAAAGGACACGCAGGCGGCCAUACAAGUCAAGUGUUAAAGACCGAGGCUUAACCUCGGGAAGGCACUUGAUACUGUAUGGCUUGGUGCUAGGGGAGGGAGGUGGAAUGCCCGGUGUAAGGGUAAAAUCUGUAGAUAUCGGGUAGAACGCCGAAGGCGAAGGCAGCCUCCUAUCCUAGUCACGACGCUCAGGUGUGAAAGCUGGGGGAGAAAACAGG
Molecule: ribosomal RNA, 253 nt
Filed under: uncultured bacterium
Lineage: Bacteria
Description: partial 16S ribosomal RNA
Rfam family: Bacterial small subunit ribosomal RNA
Source: RNAcentral